RNAcentral lists this ribosomal RNA (253 nucleotides) under uncultured bacterium. RNAcentral's name for it is "partial 16S ribosomal RNA". It matches the Rfam family "Bacterial small subunit ribosomal RNA", at positions 524 to 776 of the family's 1533-position model. The record is from RNAcentral.
UACGUAGGGGGCUAGCGUUGUCCGGAUUUAUUGGGCGUAAAGAGCGUGUAGGCGGCCAGGUAGGUCUGGUGUGAAAACUCGAGGCUUAACCUCGAGAUGUCAUCGGAAACCAUUUGGCUAGAGUCCGGAAGAGGAGAGUGGAAUUCCUGGUGUAGCGGUGAAAUGCGCAGAUAUCAGGAAGAACACCAAUGGCGAAGGCGACUACCUGGCCUGUUCUUGACGCUGAGGCGCGAAAGCUAGGGGAGCAAACGGG